This 1446-nucleotide ribosomal RNA is filed under the name Lactiplantibacillus plantarum. RNAcentral describes it as "bacterial SSU rRNA". It matches the Rfam family "Bacterial small subunit ribosomal RNA". Lineage: Bacteria; Bacillati; Bacillota; Bacilli; Lactobacillales; Lactobacillaceae. The record is from RNAcentral.
GAACUCUGGUAUUGAUUGGUGCUUGCAUCAUGAUUUACAUUUGAGUGAGUGGCGAACUGGUGAGUAACACGUGGGAAACCUGCCCAGAAGCGGGGGAUAACACCUGGAAACAGAUGCUAAUACCGCAUAACAACUUGGACCGCAUGGUCCGAGCUUGAAAGAUGGCUUCGGCUAUCACUUUUGGAUGGUCCCGCGGCGUAUUAGCUAGAUGGUGGGGUAACGGCUCACCAUGGCAAUGAUACGUAGCCGACCUGAGAGGGUAAUCGGCCACAUUGGGACUGAGACACGGCCCAAACUCCUACGGGAGGCAGCAGUAGGGAAUCUUCCACAAUGGACGAAAGUCUGAUGGAGCAACGCCGCGUGAGUGAAGAAGGGUUUCGGCUCGUAAAACUCUGUUGUUAAAGAAGAACAUAUCUGAGAGUAACUGUUCAGGUAUUGACGGUAUUUAACCAGAAAGCCACGGCUAACUACGUGCCAGCAGCCGCGGUAAUACGUAGGUGGCAAGCGUUGUCCGGAUUUAUUGGGCGUAAAGCGAGCGCAGGCGGUUUUUUAAGUCUGAUGUGAAAGCCUUCGGCUCAACCGAAGAAGUGCAUCGGAAACUGGGAAACUUGAGUGCAGAAGAGGACAGUGGAACUCCAUGUGUAGCGGUGAAAUGCGUAGAUAUAUGGAAGAACACCAGUGGCGAAGGCGGCUGUCUGGUCUGUAACUGACGCUGAGGCUCGAAAGUAUGGGUAGCAAACAGGAUUAGAUACCCUGGUAGUCCAUACCGUAAACGAUGAAUGCUAAGUGUUGGAGGGUUUCCGCCCUUCAGUGCUGCAGCUAACGCAUUAAGCAUUCCGCCUGGGGAGUACGGCCGCAAGGCUGAAACUCAAAGGAAUUGACGGGGGCCCGCACAAGCGGUGGAGCAUGUGGUUUAAUUCGAAGCUACGCGAAGAACCUUACCAGGUCUUGACAUACUAUGCAAAUCUAAGAGAUUAGACGUUCCCUUCGGGGACAUGGAUACAGGUGGUGCAUGGUUGUCGUCAGCUCGUGUCGUGAGAUGUUGGGUUAAGUCCCGCAACGAGCGCAACCCUUAUUAUCAGUUGCCAGCAUUAAGUUGGGCACUCUGGUGAGACUGCCGGUGACAAACCGGAGGAAGGUGGGGAUGACGUCAAAUCAUCAUGCCCCUUAUGACCUGGGCUACACACGUGCUACAAUGGAUGGUACAACGAGUUGCGAACUCGCGAGAGUAAGCUAAUCUCUUAAAGCCAUUCUCAGUUCGGAUUGUAGGCUGCAACUCGCCUACAUGAAGUCGGAAUCGCUAGUAAUCGCGGAUCAGCAUGCCGCGGUGAAUACGUUCCCGGGCCUUGUACACACCGCCCGUCACACCAUGAGAGUUUGUAACACCCAAAGUCGGUGGGGUAACCUUUUAGGAACCAGCCGCCUAAGGUGGGACAGAUGAUUAGG